RNAcentral lists this ribosomal RNA (363 nucleotides) under Triticum aestivum (bread wheat). RNAcentral describes it as "partial small subunit ribosomal RNA". Lineage: Eukaryota; Viridiplantae; Streptophyta; Magnoliopsida; Poales; Poaceae. The record is from RNAcentral.
CGAUCAAGGGAGGAGGAGGCACGAGGCGCUGGUGCUGGGCGACGACGUGGGGUGCUGCUGCUGCUCUUGGGUUCUGGUUGGAGAAGAGCUUGGGCCAGCUGGGGCCUCGGGCGCCAUGGUGACGGGAACCUGCGGGAGCUCUCUGUUUCAACGAGGCAAGGCAGAGAGAGAGCGAUUAGCGGAGGCGGGAGGAGCAGGGGAAGAAGAAGAAAAACAGCAGGGCGACGCUCAUCUGCUGGGCGCGCCGGCGACGUGGCUGGCCGAACGGAGACGGGGAAGCUCGGGGCUCCGAGGAACGGGAGGAGAAGCGCAACCGCGGCUGUGGUGAUUGGCUCGCUGGGGAAAACGAGAGGAGGCUGGAGG